UGGGGAAUAUUGGACAAUGGGCGCAAGCCUGAUCCAGCCAUGCCGCGUGAGUGACGAAGGCCUUAGGGUUGUAAAGCUCUUUUGGCGGGGACGAUAAUGACGGUACCCGCAGAAUAAGCUCCGGCUAACUUCGUGCCAGCAGCCGCGGUAAUACGAAGGGAGCUAGCGUUGUUCGGAAUCACUGGGCGUAAAGCGCACGUAGGCGGAUUAUUAAGUCAGGGGUGAAAUCCCGGGGCUCAACCUCGGAACUGCCUCUGAUACUGAUAGUCUCGAGUCCGGAAGAGGUGGGUGGAAUUCCUAGUGUAGAGGUGAAAUUCGUAGAUAUGUGGAGGAAUACCGAUGGCGAAGGCAGCCCCCUGGGCUAACACUGACGCUCAUGCACGAAAGCGUGGGGAGCAAACAGGAUUAGAUACCCACGUAGUCCCUGAGCGGGCUGGCAAGGCGCAU
Molecule: ribosomal RNA, 447 nt
Filed under: uncultured bacterium
Lineage: Bacteria
Description: bacterial SSU rRNA
Rfam family: Bacterial small subunit ribosomal RNA
Source: RNAcentral